This is a long non-coding RNA of Zingiber officinale, 1640 nucleotides long. RefSeq lists it as uncharacterized. NCBI's taxonomy places the organism in Eukaryota, Viridiplantae, Streptophyta, Magnoliopsida, Zingiberales, Zingiberaceae. The record is from RefSeq and is a predicted model, not a curated record. The transcript has 4 exons.
AACUACACAAAAUUAAAAGUUAGUCUCCAAAACUCUAUCUCCGCAAAAACUCCAAAAAUCAUCUCCACCGAAACCCUCCUCCGCACCUCGUCCGCCACUCCUCCGCACCAUCCCUCACUCCUUCAUCUUCUCCUAUCAAGCAGACACCCAACCUCAUCUUAUCGAUGCCAACACAAGUCGUUGCCUUCUUCUCCAUCUUCCACCUUUUCUACAUCUAGCCAACCACCUCCUCUACAUCACCGCCGACGGAGCUACUUACUCUCAUCUCUCCUAUUCGGGUUAGGAGAGGAGAGGCCAUAGCUUCCUUCCGGAAGCUCCCAUUCCCUCUCCACAUAUUUUUGUCUAAUUUUUUUGCAUUCUUCGUUAUUGCUUCUAUGCGACUGAAGUGGAGGAUGACAGUCGUUUCUGUAGUUUUUGUUUUCUUUGCAUGAAUCCUCACCCAUUUUUGUUCAAAGAUUUUUGUUUCUUGAUUAAGAUGCAAGAUUUAUUUUUUAUGUAAGGAAGUUCCUGAAACUACUAAGACCUGGGAAAGAAAUCGUGGUUCUUUGUUUCAUUCUUUUGUUAGUCGAGUUAUAUGAUAUCAUAUUUAGAAUUAUUAAUGCUUCCAUGGAGUUCUAUUUACUCAUCUGUUGUAGUCUGAUGCUUGAUAGAUUUGUUUCUUUCCUAGGCUUUAAUGAACCAAUCUUUUAUCUCUUUUUUUUGCUAUAGUAAUGAAGUGUUGCUUGUUUAGCAUCUUAAUUUAAACUAGUUUAAUAUUGUUAAAUAAGUUCGGAAACAAGUCAUCAAUUCUUCAUUGGUGUUUUCAAUUCAAGAUCCAAGAUCAUCAAAUGUUUGAUAAAAUGUCCCAACCAUUUGUCCUACUUUAGUUUUGCAUUUUCUUAAGCUUAGAUUCUCGCAAUGCUUUGUUAAUUGAAUGCUUCAUGUUUCUCUUAUGUUCAUGUCAUCAUUUAAAUGCAAUUAGGUUAUAGAUUAGAUGUUUCUAUAAUGCUUUAUGUUUUGUUAAAUGUUUUGCUUACUUUAUGUUGCUUUGUUUUUAAUUUUUAGUUUCUAUUUUUUUAAUGAAAUGAUAACUGAAUUAUUUAUAGAAAAUAUUGACUUUCAUGGCAUAUAAAUCAGUACAUGUUUUCAAUUGCAGACUUGUGUUCUUAUAGUCAAUAUACAUUGUGAAGGUUGUAAGGAUAAGGUCAAGAAAAGGUGCAGAAGGUUCAAGUGUUGGUGACUUACCAAAGAAGGAGACUUUGAAUGCAAGGAUUUGAUGAAAAGAGUACAAAAGAUUGUUUGUUCUGCCUUUGUGCAACUUAUAGAAGUUCGAACAUUAUUCCUAGAGGAGCAACAACUACAUGCUAUGUGGCACUGCAUUCGAACCUCAGGGGUGUGACUAGGAAGUACUUCGAUGAAGAACUAUCAAGAAGGUUUUGGGAUUUAAGCGAGAAGAUGGUUAAAGUCAAUGAGUAAAGAACAUUCAAGUCAACAGGAUAAGUAGCAUCUAUCAAGAUCCUUUAAGCUCAUGAAAUAAGAUAUAAUCGAUAGGAGUAAUUUUAAGUAUCUUCUAAUUAAAAUUUCUUUGUAUGCGAGUAAUUAUGUUUGUUAUAGAAGUGUAAGGAUGAUAAUUUAUAUAUUUAUCUUGGUUGUUUAUUUAA